UAAUAUUGUAAGUACGGGUUUGCACAUAGAAGCUGAUCAUGUGUCAGGAUCUUUGGCCCAAAUCUGAAAUGCUAAAGGCACUCACUUCUGGAAGAUGCUGAAACUUUAUUGAAUUAUGUUUUUACAAGCUUCUUUAUGAUUAUCUUUUAGGUAUUUUCUGAUCUAAUGUUGAAAAGCUAUUUAGUGUAACUGCAGUUAAGUGAUUUCAUCUCAAAUGUUUAUUUUGCUAUGCACAUCUCUUCCCCCUUUUCUUUUUUUAAUGUGAAGUGCUACAGCUUUACUUUAAGUUUAUAUGGAAAGCAACUAUACUUUAAGAAGUAUGCAGGAGGAUUUCCCAUGUCUGUAAACAUACUGGGUAGUUGAGCAUUUGCUGAAAUGAGCUGCCAAUUGUUUUCUGUCUUGUAAUACUCCUUUGUAGAUCUGCUGGUAUCUGGCUUGUCCCUGCUGCAUCUAUACAAUGCGUUCCUUCAUGUUUUGUGUAACAUCUUCCUCAGUCAUUUCUGUGUAUGUAAAUACAGAAACUGGAAAGAGAAAACUCUGUUUGUGAAUUGUCCCUCUUCCUGCCCUCACUUCUCCACCCCUCCAGCGUAGCUGGAAGGUUGGUCAUGAGCAGGAAGUGAGAACAAUAUUGAUCACUGGUAUCCAGGAAUUCUGAGGGGAAAGGGGGCAAAAAUGAGCACUGGAAAACAAUCUACGUGUUCUGACAACACAUUUAUGCUUUGAGACCCUUAGAAUGGGAGUGCUGUCGGUAGAAAAAGUAAAUGAAGACCUCGAGGUGUUGGUUGCAGAAGUAUCGAAGCUAACUGCCAUUGUAAGAGGCUUGGGUGUUGGUUUUGUGCCUUCUGUUACUUGUUCAGUUAUUUAAAUCACUCCUAAUAGUGGUUAGUGAGGUGCAAGCAGAGUGAAGCCUAAACCCAGAAGGGUUUUUGUGUAUUAUUUACCUUUAUUUUAGCUUGUCAAACUCAAAGCAGAGUUACAUUAAAACAAAGUAUCUUUCAGUGGUGACUUCUGUGACUGUAUAACUCCUGCCACAUGAGUGAUUACUGUUCAUUUCUGCACUUACUAUUUGCAAGUGCUGCAUGUUUGUGUCACAACGCUGUUUUCUAACACUGUUUCAAGUAAGAGAAGAACGUAAAAAAAGGUAAUUUAAAGUGAUGUAUUUAAUGGGAAGUAGUUCUAAGUUGCUCAACUGAGAAGAGAUGAGUACUGGCAUGUCUCAAAACUUGUUUUGUUCCCCAGGAGUUAAGCAUAGAGUGUUAUCUCCCUUUUAUUUGCACAGUAUCUCGCAUACCAGCAGAGCCUGGAAAUUCAUAAUGUUUAGCAAAAUGAGGAAAGAAAUCAAGAGUCACACAUUUUUGCUGUUGGCAGUGGUAGCCUGAUCAACAUUUACCCGUCAGCCUGCCACCUCCCGUAACUUAGACACUAGUUUUUAAAACCACUUUCUGCAGCCGUUAGUCCUCAGUUUCUGGUUGCCAAAUAUGUGUUUUCUUUUUUCUUCUUGCGCAAGCUUGUUGUUACUGCUGUGCUUAUAAGAGAGGGCUUAGCUGAGUUUUGGAGGUGUAUUUAGCAGCAGAUGUACUGCAUAUUGUCCUUUUUCUUGUGACAGUCCUUAAGAGUAUUUAAGUGUGUUAUUCAGCAUUUGAUGGGUGACCAAGCUAUUCUUUGUUUAUUUUCUGAAGCAUUGAACGUUUUGUUACAAAUGUAGGCUGAUAUUAUUACAGAUAAGUGAUUUUGUUCAUGGCUUUGAUGCUUAGUGUUGCUGUGAGAAAGAUCCCUGUGCAGGGUUCAACAAAUAAUUGUGGAGAGCAGCGGUUCCACUUUCUGUGCACGUGCUACCUAUUUUGUAAAUAAGCAUUGUAUGGCUGUUGGUCUUCCUUUUAAAAGCUAUCCUGUGCAUGGCUGACUUCAAAACUCUUAUAAAAGCUUAGGAAUUAAGUCAGUGUUGUAAACUAGAAACGUGAGGUAGACUUUCAGAAUUAUUUGGAAGAGGAAAAUACGUGUAUAUGAACUGAAGGAAUCUGAGUCAAAUAAGCAGGCUGUGCAGCUUUCCUGAGGUUUGUGAAAAAUCAAAAUGCAGUAACUUGUUAGACCUGUGUGAGGAGGAAUAGAGAACAUAUAUUUCUAGCCUGUCAUAGAACGGUGUGGAUUAACACAGAAGCAAGAAAAGAGCCUCAGAUGUUCUUGCAAAACUGUGACAAAACACCUUUGCAAAACGUGAUGACCUCAGUUGUACUGUGGUAGAAUAAAACAAAAUCAGAGGUUGGAAAAAAAUGGCAACUCGUGGUAUAAAGAGGUUAAGAAAUUGAAGUAUUAAUAUUCAAGUAAAAUACAUUUAAUAAGUAGGAAAUGAAGUGAAACAGUGUACUCUGAAGCUUAUCAAAGAGUUUACAGGAAGGUUCCUGAAGAUCUGGAGAUCUCCUGAAGGAUCCUGGAGAUCCUGAAGAUCUGGAGAAUUCAACUGAAAAUAGAAAAUCCGUUCUUUUUACCUGAGCCUGUAUCUGUGUAUUUAGGAAUAAACACAGUUUUUGUUUCGUAUUUUUACAACAGCUGUUUGGGUAACCUAAAGCACACAGACCGCGAUGCUGGUAUUUACGAGGCCUGCACUCCAAGGCUGUGAGUGCAACUGGAGCUAAAGGAGCCUUGCUGUUCUGCUGGGGCUUUAUGAAAACUUCAGGAGCAUUUGACAAGUUUUACUCUAUUCAGUGGGAGGAAAAAAGGAAAUGUACUUGUAGUUUUUAAGCUUUACAGAAUGAUUAGGUUUUAAUUUAGCAAAACUAUCCUAGACAAACAUAGUGUAUUUCUUUCUUAUAGUCAAAAUAAGAAGCGCCUAUGGUAGAAAGAGUACUGUGCAAAACUUGCUCUAGUGGAUGUGAGAGCUUUUGAGUCUGACAGUUUAAGUAGCGAAGACGAAAGUGAGGACAGUUCUUGGGCAGGGGACUUGAAGAGGAAUGUGAUUCAUGGGGCAUAGUGACUGGCGUAAUUACCAGUGCAGCUGCUGUAGUAAUUUCUGCCAGUGCUAAAAAAGCCUGUCAUGGCCUGUACUCUGCUGGUCAGAGUGUAAGUGAUAACGAUGGCAGCAGCAGUGCCAACUCCAGGCUGCUGUAUGCGAUUGGAGCAGUUUCUGCUAGGUUUCAAAUUGAUAUAAAACCUUCACAGGAUUUCCUGAAGUGUUCAGGCUGAGGAAAAACUUUGGAAUUGGGAGUGGCAAGGUUUUGUUAUGUGUUUUCUGUGAGGAAUAGUAAGAGUAGUGAUACAGAGGGAUUUAAAUAAUCUGAUAAUGAGUAAAACCUGUCAAAUUCAGGCAAGGAAAACCAAGGACUUGAGCACCUUCAAUUUUAACAUUAUCAGCACAAAAGGUUUGUAAGAAAUCCAUUUGCUUCAGUAUUCUAUUAAAUAAGGUUUUAAACUUUUUGUUCUGAUAGAGCUUUCUGUCAUUCUGUAUUUUUUUAAUCACGUUCUGUAAUCUGAAACAUCUGACUUGUGGUUCAGUGUUUGUUUCCAUUUAAGCCAAGUGACACAUUUCAGAGUUGAUCCAGCAUGGAAUUUGGAGGAAGGAGCUCUUGAAGCACUGGGACAGAAGAGUGGGAAGAAACGUUCUGCUGGACCCAGGCUUCUUUCUCAUGUAAAUGGCUUGACCUAGCGAGGAAAAGCUUUUGCUGAAGAGUGAGGGGAAUUUUGAAAUACUAACCACAAAAUGUUAUUUUCUGUCACUAAUGUGCAUCAUCAAAACUCACUUCUCUAGCACUCAACAAACGUAAUUUGCAUUUAAAAUUGAAGUGGAUUGCCAAAAGUCUUACAUCAGUCUCACAUCAAAGACAGCAGAAUUUCCUAGAAUUCAGGGACUCUGAUACUUACUGUCAGAGCAAUCUGUUUAACUGCCUAGCCCCAACAUCUGCAUUAGCAGCUCAUUGCAUUUCACCUGUGCAGUAGAAAUAAUAAUUUUGUCCUAUUUGAGAGAAGGCUUAGCUUCCUUCCUAGAUGUUCUAAGUGUAAACUGUAAAUACAUAUGCAGUGUUCCUAAUUUCUUUCAGUCUUCCUUAUCCUCUUCAAAGAGUUUCCAGAUCUUGCUCUUUUUCAACCUUUUAUUUACCUUUGAUUUCAUUUCUGCCAUUUCCAUCUCCUGUUCUUAAUAACGUGCCUCCCUCAGAUUGUUGCUGAAGAAUGCCAAACAGUGUUUGUGGCUCGAUUCAAGAAAGAGAUUAAGGAGGAGAUCACAAUUUCCUGCAUCCAAAGUGGUUCAAAAUGUCAUUGAGGGAGAGAGAAAUCUGACCAAUGGAUUGAUAACUGAGUAAUACCUGUGAGAUGUACAAAGCAGGAGGAAGAACUGAGUCUGUUUUAAAGAUGAGUAAAUUGAGAUGAGGUGCAGGUGGAGUUUGUGAUCAGCAAAAGCAGGAGUGUUACAAGCAGUAUGCACUCUGUGUCAUCUGUAGAUGUAAUUCAACUGUUUCAAGUCUGCUAAAACAGUGGUAGCUACAUGGGUGAGGCAGGACUUGGGCAGGUAACAUGCAGUUUUACUUCAGUUGCUGCUGGGGUGAGAGUCCCUACCUCCUUCCCCAUGGGAAGGUACCCUAACCCAGGAACACUUCAUGCAGCACUGAAAUGGAGGCCUUCACAGAAAGAUAAACCUCAGUAUGCUUCUCCAGUGAAAUAUAUUACACAUUUGUUAGUUUUUGGGUAACAGCCAAAUCAUUCCUUGUCCCUCCCCACACACGCUUCCAUUUAUAAAUGAAGUCUUCAGUCUUUUGAAUGUCAUACAAAACUGUUCAAAACCAGACUUGAGCAAUUGAAAUUCAAUUAGUUCAAUCAGAGUGAUUCAAUUGACACAGCUGAGUUCUGCAAUCUGAACAAAAGAUUUUGCUGUAAUUGUGCAGGAAUAUAUAAAUGCUGAUAUGAUUGUCUUGUCCUCAGCCCUCCAGAAGGAUGUAUUGCAUUUUAAAACUUACUGGCAUACACCCCAUUUUCUACUUGAUGCUUCUGUGGUGCCUCGGCCCCUCAUAAAAUUGGAGGUGAACAAAAUCCAGUGAAAUACAAGGAAGUGUGUUUCCUGUGGGCAAGCCUGCUGAAUGUUAGGCAUUCACAUGUAAUGUAUUGCUAAAUUUGGUGAAUCCGUUUGGACAUCCAUUCCGUCUUGAGACAGAUGAUCUUGUAAUAGCCAUUUGCAGAUGAUAUUUCUGAUGAAUCAUUUGAGGUUGUGAUUCACAGCUUGACUGUAGUGAUGUUCAAAUCAAAAAAAUGUGC
This 5238-nucleotide long non-coding RNA is filed under the name Gallus gallus (chicken). Its description in RNAcentral is "lncRNA (ENSGALG00010020826.1)". The record is from RNAcentral. Lineage: Eukaryota; Metazoa; Chordata; Aves; Galliformes; Phasianidae.